CCUACGGGAGGCAGCAGUGAGGAAUAUUGGUCAAUGGCCGGAAGGCUGAACCAGCCAUGCCGCGUGAAGGUCAAUGCCCUAUGGGCGUUAAACUUCUUUUGUGCGGGAGCAAUACUGGUCUCGUGUGGCCAGACGAGAGUACCGUACGAAUAAGCAUAGGCUAACUCCGUGCCAGCAGCCGCGGUAAACCGGGGGAUGCAAGCGUUAUCCGGAUUUAUUGGGUUUAAAGGGUGCGUAGGUUGUUAGGUAAGUCAGCGGGGAAAUGCCCCCGCUCAACGGGGUGAAGUGCCAUUGAUACUGUCUAGCUGGAAAGCGGAUGCCGUAGGAGGAAUGUGUGGUGUAGCGGUGAAAUGCAUAGAUAUCAGACAGAACACCGAUUGCGAAGGCAUCUCACGAAUCCGCGAUUGACGCUGAUGCACGAAAGCGUGGGUAUCAAACAGGAUUAGAUACCCUUGUAGUC
This 460-nucleotide ribosomal RNA is filed under the name uncultured bacterium. Its description in RNAcentral is "partial 16S ribosomal RNA". It matches the Rfam family "Bacterial small subunit ribosomal RNA", at positions 338 to 795 of the family's 1533-position model. The record is from RNAcentral.